GGCAGCAUGGUCUUAGCUUGCUAAGGCCGAUGGCGACCGGCGCACGGGUGAGUAACACGUAUCCAACCUGCCGUCUACUCUUGGACAGCCUUCUGAAAGGAAGAUUAAUACAAGAUGGCAUCAUGAGUCCGCAUGUUCACAUGAUUAAAGGUAUUCCGGUAGACGAUGGGGAUGCGUUCCAUUAGAUAGUAGGCGGGGUAACGGCCCACCUAGUCUUCGAUGGAUAGGGGUUCUGAGAGGAAGGUCCCCCACAUUGGAACUGAGACACGGUCCAAACUCCUACGGGAGGCAGCAGUGAGGAAUAUUGGUCAAUGGGCGAGAGCCUGAACCAGCCAAGUAGCGUGAAGGAUGACUGCCCUAUGGGUUGUAAACUUCUUUUAUAAAGGAAUAAAGUCGGGUAUGCAUACCCGUUUGCAUGUACUUUAUGAAUAAGGAUCGGCUAACUCCGUGCCAGCAGCCGCGGUAAUACGGAGGAUCCGAGCGUUAUCCGGAUUUAUUGGGUUUAAAGGGAGCGUAGAUGGAUGUUUAAGUCAGUUGUGAAAGUUUGCGGCUCAACCGUAAAAUUGCAGUUGAUACUGGAUAUCUUGAGUGCAGUUGAGGCAGGCGGAAUUCGUGGUGUAGCGGUGAAAUGCUUAGAUAUCACGAAGAACUCCGAUUGCGAAGGCAGCCUGCUAAGCUGCAACUGACAUUGAGGCUCG
RNAcentral lists this ribosomal RNA (698 nucleotides) under uncultured Bacteroidales bacterium. RNAcentral's name for it is "bacterial SSU rRNA". It matches the Rfam family "Bacterial small subunit ribosomal RNA", at positions 68 to 755 of the family's 1533-position model. The record is from RNAcentral. Lineage: Bacteria; Pseudomonadati; Bacteroidota; Bacteroidia; Bacteroidales.